Molecule: ribosomal RNA, 447 nt
Filed under: uncultured bacterium
Lineage: Bacteria
Description: partial 16S ribosomal RNA
Rfam family: Bacterial small subunit ribosomal RNA
Source: RNAcentral
AACGAACGCUGGCGGCAGGCUUAACACAUGCAAGUCGAGCGCCCCGCAAGGGGAGCGGCAGACGGGUGAGUAACGCGUGGGAAUCUACCCAACCCUACGGAAUAACGCAUGGAAACGUGUGCUAAUACCGUAUACGCCCUUUUGGGGAAAGAUUUAUCGGGGAUGGAUGAGCCCGCGUUGGAUUAGCUAGUUGGUGGGGUAAAGGCCUACCAAGGCGACGAUCCAUAGCUGGUCUGAGAGGAUGGUCAGCCACAUUGGGACUGAGACACGGCCCAAACUCCUACGGGAGGCAGCAGUGGGGAAUAUUGGACAAUGGGCGCAAGCCUGAUCCAGCCAUGCCGCGUGAGUGAUGAAGGCCCUAGGGUUGUAAAGCUCUUUCACCGGAGAAGAUAAUGACGGUAUCCGGAGAAGAAGCCCCGGCUAACUUCGUGCCAGCCGCCGCAGUAA